AGUGAACGCUGGCGGUAGGCCUAACACAUGCAAGUCGAACGGCAGCACAGUAAGAGCUUGCUCUUACGGGUGGCGAGUGGCGGACGGGUGAGGAAUACAUCGGAAUCUACUUUUUCGUGGGGGAUAACGUAGGGAAACUUACGCUAAUACCGCAUACGACCUACGGGUGAAAGCAGGGGAUCUUCGGACCUUUCGCGAUUGAAUGAGCCGAUGUCGGAUUAGCUAGUUGGCGGGGUAAAGGCCCACCAAGGCGACGAUCCGUAGCUGGUCUGAGAGGAUGAUCAGCAACACUGGAACGGAGACACGGUCCAGACUCCUACGGGAGGCAGCAGUGGGGAAUAUUGGACAAUGGGCGCAAGCCUGAUCCAGCCAUACGGGGUGGGUGAAGAAGGCCUUCGGGUUGUAAAGCCCUUUUGUUGGGAAAGAAAAGCGGCAGGUUAAUACCCCGCUGUUCUGACGGUACCAAAGAAUAAGCACCGGCUAACUUCGUG
Molecule: ribosomal RNA, 491 nt
Filed under: uncultured bacterium
Lineage: Bacteria
Description: partial 16S ribosomal RNA
Rfam family: Bacterial small subunit ribosomal RNA
Source: RNAcentral